RNAcentral lists this unclassified non-coding RNA (338 nucleotides) under Hevea brasiliensis (rubber tree). Lineage: Eukaryota; Viridiplantae; Streptophyta; Magnoliopsida; Malpighiales; Euphorbiaceae. The record is from RNAcentral.
UUUUGGAGUUCAAUUUGUGAUGAGGAGAUAGACAUCUUGGAAGAAUAUGGAGGUGAUUUCACAGGGGAUUCUGAUGUCCCUUGUUUUUAUUUUAUCAAGCAGGCACUCCCUGCUCUUAUCCCAAUGUUGUUGGAGACCCUUCUUAAGCAAGAGGAUGAUCAGGAUCAGGAUGAAGGGGCUUGGAACAUUGCAAUGGCAGGGGGCACAUGCCUUGGCUUGGUUGCACGCACCGUGGGAGAUGAUAUUGUGCCACUGGUCAUGCCAUUCAUUGAAGAAGAUAUAACAAAGCCAGAUUGGAGGCAAAGGGAGGCAGCCACAUAUGCUUUUGGCUCUAUCUU